Molecule: ribosomal RNA, 301 nt
Filed under: uncultured bacterium
Lineage: Bacteria
Description: partial 16S ribosomal RNA
Rfam family: Bacterial small subunit ribosomal RNA
Source: RNAcentral
CAGUCGCCACGGGAAUACGAGGGGGGCAAGCGUUGUUCGGAAUUAUUGGGCGUAAAAGGUGCGUAGGCGGCUUGACAAGUCUUGUGUGAAAUCUAUGGGCUCAACCCAUAGUCUGCACGGGAAACUGUCGGGCUUGAGUUCGGGAGAGGUGAGUGGAAUUCCCAGUGUAGAGGUGAAAUUCGUAGAUAUUGGGAAGAACACCAGUGGCGAAGGCGGCUCACUGGACCGACACUGACGCUGAGGCGCGAAAGCGUGGGGAGCAAACAGGAUUAGAGACCCCCGUAGUCCCUGUCUCUUAUAC